GACGGAGGAUGCAAGCGUUAUCCGGAAUUAUUGGGCGUAAAGCGUCCGUAGGCGGUUUCAAAAGUCUGUUGUUAAAGCCCACAGCUCAACUGUGGAUCGGCAAUGGAAACUGUGAGACUAGAGAGUGGUAGGGGUAGAGGGAAUUCCUAGUGUAGCGGUGAAAUGCGUAGAUAUCGUGAGGAACACCAGAGGCGAAGGCGGUUACCUGGACAAUUACUGACGCUCAGGCACGAAAGCGUGGGGAGCAAAAGGG
This 253-nucleotide ribosomal RNA is filed under the name uncultured bacterium. RNAcentral's name for it is "partial 16S ribosomal RNA". It matches the Rfam family "Bacterial small subunit ribosomal RNA", at positions 524 to 776 of the family's 1533-position model. The record is from RNAcentral.